CGCGGAGUAGACUGGAGAUGGUACCAGCUCAGUCUCAUAAGCUGAACAACGUGAGUUCGAUUCUCACCUCCGCAA
This 75-nucleotide transfer RNA is filed under the name Clostridia bacterium. RNAcentral's name for it is "tRNA-Met". It matches the Rfam family "tRNA". From Rfam's summary of the family: Transfer RNA (tRNA) molecules are approximately 80 nucleotides in length. Their secondary structure includes four short double-helical elements and three loops (D, anti-codon, and T loops). The record is from RNAcentral. Lineage: Bacteria; Bacillati; Bacillota; Clostridia.